AUGGGCCCCGAUGGGAUUCACCCACGAGUGCUGAGGGAGCUGGCGAAUGUUAUUGCUAGACCACUCUCCAUCAUCUUUGCAAGGUCAUGGAGGACAGGAGAGGUGCCUGAGGACUGGAACAAAGCCAAUAUCACCCCUGUCUUCAAAAAGGGCAAGAAGGAGGACCCGGGAAACUACAGGCCAGUCAGCCUCAGCUGCAUCCCUGGAAAGGUGAUGGAGCAGCUCAUGCUGGAGGCCAUCUCCAAGCAUGUGGAGGAAAAGAAGGUGAUCAGGAGUAGUCAGCAUGGCUUCACCAAGGGGAAAUCAUGCUUAACCAAUCUGAUAGCCUUCUCUGAUGGAAUGACUGGCUGGGGAGAUGAGGGGAGAGCAGUGGAUGUUGUGUCCCUUGACUUCAGCAAGGCUUUUGACACUGUCUCCCAUAACAUCCUCAUAGGUAAGCUCAGGAAGUGUGGGUUGGAUGAGUGGACAGUGAGGUGGAUUGAGAGCUGGCUGAAUGGCAGAGUUCAGAGAGUUGUGAUUAGUGGUGCAGAGUCUGGUUGGAGGCCUGUGGCUAGCAGUAUCCCCCAGGGGUCAGUACUGGGUCCAGUCUUGUUCAGCUGCUUCAUCAAUGACCUGGAUGAAGGGACAAAGUGCACCCUCAGCAAGUUUGCUGACGAUACAAAACUGGGAGGAGUGGCCAAUACCCCAGAGGGCUGUGCUGCCAUUGAGAGAGACCUGGACAAGCUGGAGAGCUGGACRGAGAGGAACCUCAUGAAGUUCAAAAAAGGCAAGUGCAGGGUCCUGCACCUAGGGAGGAAUAACCCCACGCACCAGUACGGGUUGAGGGUUGACCUGCUGGAAAGCAGCUCUGCAGAGAAGGACCUGGGAGUGCUGGUGGACACGAAGUUAAGCAUGAGCCAGCAAUGUGCCCUUGUGGCCAAGAAGGCCAAUGGUACCCUGGGGUGCAUUAGGAAGAGUGUUGCCAGCAGGUCGAGGGAUGUGAUCCUGCCCCUCUACUCAGCCCUGGUGAGACCGCAUCUGGAGUACUGUGUCCAAUUUUGGACUCCCCAGUACAAGAGAGACAUGGAGCUACUGGAGAGAGUCCAGUGA
Molecule: long non-coding RNA, 1089 nt
Filed under: Apteryx haastii (Great spotted kiwi)
Lineage: Eukaryota; Metazoa; Chordata; Aves; Apterygiformes; Apterygidae
Description: lncRNA (ENSAHAG00000010037.1)
Source: RNAcentral